This 348-nucleotide small RNA is filed under the name Histoplasma capsulatum. RNAcentral's name for it is "hypothetical RNA". Lineage: Eukaryota; Fungi; Ascomycota; Eurotiomycetes; Onygenales; Ajellomycetaceae. The record is from RNAcentral. RNAcentral also lists the same sequence under 1 other name.
UGGACUACAUGAUGUUAUGCGGCCGUUUUAUCACCAUCUUUCUGGGUAACUUUGAAGUUGAGUGAGAACUGCGCGCUUUGGAAUGCGAUUUACCUCGGGGUAGUCGCUGGCGCAAAUGGUGAUCGGAUUGGCCACACUACGACGGAUGCCGAAUGGACUUGAUGGCGCUGGAACUGUUGAUAUUGCUUGUUAUUCCUCAAGUUUAGGAAAUUAGCCUGAAUGUGUGCCAAGUCACAGCUGAAAUAUUUGUCUAGGAAAGGUUUCUCUGAUACAAUCUUUGCUGGUUACUUCAAGGCUGGUUCCUUUUCGAGCUGGGCAGUUGUGAGAUGUAUAUAUUUUCGUGGGUCG